RNAcentral lists this ribosomal RNA (497 nucleotides) under uncultured bacterium. RNAcentral describes it as "partial 16S ribosomal RNA". It matches the Rfam family "Bacterial small subunit ribosomal RNA", at positions 28 to 507 of the family's 1533-position model. The record is from RNAcentral.
GAUGAACGCUGGCGGCGUGCCUAAUACAUGCAAGUCGAGCGAACAGACGAGGAGCUUGCUCCUUUGACGUUAGCGGCGGACGGGUGAGUAACACGUGGGUAACCUACCUAUAAGACUGGGAUAACUUCGGGAAACCGGAGCUAAUACCGGAUAAUAUUUCGAACCGCAUGGUUCGAUAGUGAAAGAUGGUUCUGCUAUCACUUAUAGAUGGACCUGCGCCGCAUUAGCUAGUUGGUAAGGUAACGGCUUACCAAGGCAACGAUACGUAGCCGACCUGAGAGGGUGAUCGGCCACACUGGAACUGAGACACGGUCCAGACUCCUACGGGAGGCAGCAGUAGGGAAUCUUCCGCAAUGGGCGAAAGCCUGACGGAGCAACGCCGCGUGAGUGAUGAAGGUCUUCGGAUCGUAAAACUCUGUUAUUAGGGAAGAACAAACGUGUAAGUAACUGUGCACGUCUUGACGGUACCUAAUCAGAAAGCCACGGCUAACUACGUG